RNAcentral lists this long non-coding RNA (3979 nucleotides) under Callithrix jacchus (white-tufted-ear marmoset). Its description in RNAcentral is "lncRNA (ENSCJAG00000070093.1)". The record is from RNAcentral. Lineage: Eukaryota; Metazoa; Chordata; Mammalia; Primates; Cebidae.
GGGGUAAAGGAUCGGGCAGGGCUCCUCCCUGGUGUCUGCUCCUGGAGAUAAGUCCUUGAUGACUCUCUGCAGCCUCCCAUUCGGGAGAUAAAUUUCCGAUUUGGGAGGAAAUCACACACCCCGCCCCAUGCCCCAACAGAAGUUGCUACAUCUCCCAUCCCUCUGCAACGGUGGGAAGUGACUACACCCACCCUUCCCCAACCCUGGGGGAUUCCAGAAUUUGAAAGUUCAGAGCUGGAAAGAUAAACAUCACUGAGUAUCCCUCACUCCCGCAUUGUUUCUCUUCAGGAACAGAAAAGGAACAGAAAACCAGCCUGUGCGGAAAUUCAUCCAUCUGCAGACGUUGUUAAGGGAACUGCUGCUGAAAUGACGUUUGCGGGUUCCUCCCUUUCCUCUUUGUCGACACCCCACCCACCUCUUAAGAAAAAAGAAAGAAAGAAAGAAAAAGCUUUGAUUCUUAGUCCAAGGUGUGAGCCACCGUGCCCAGCCAGAGACUUCUUCAUAAAGGGCCUACUACAGGAUACCCAUGUGAGCCCCUCAGAGGAGCCACUACUGAGCACCUGCUACCCAGUGACCAUGGUGGAAAAGCAGCAGCCAUCGACAGAGAGGAUCACAGCAGCACCAGCCCCCAACACAACACAGAAGAGGGACCCGGAAAAAGAGAAACCGAAUUUCAUCUGUCCCAGGUCCCACAGGCCUAAGCCAGGUGGAGUGAGGAGGAAGGUAAGUAUUAAAUUCAAUGUAACACUGGGUUUUAAACCAAGGCUUCAGCUCUGCCCCAGAUGCCACAGGAAAAGGAAUUGGAGAUUUGUCAUAGAACAGUUGAAGGCAAGCAGUAGAGAUUUUUUUUAAUGUCUCCACAAUUUCAAACUGUUCAACAAAUUAUUCAUAAGUUUUAUGAAUCAGGGAAAACAGAUCAGGAGCUGCUGUGCACCGAGAAUCACCCUUCAAAUGGGUUUCUGUUUUAUUCCACAUCCCACAAAUGUGCUGGUAUGAAGUUGCCACUGGUAUCCUUGGUCUAAUGAAUUUCCCAGUUAGUGGAAAAGAGUUUCUCUCCAAAUCUGUUUUAUUAAUCAGAGUGAUAGUCAUGAAAAAUAAUGCUUAAGAAAAUGUGUACUUUUAACCUGUAUGAUAUAUAAGCCUUUCAGGCAUAAAGGCAAGUUCAGGUUCGCACUUGUUUUUCUACUUUUCUACCAUCUAGCCAGCGAGAGGCCACAUAGAAAGGGACGUGGAACGAGGCAUGAGAACACCAGGGUGCCAGGCUCUACCCUGUUUGGAGUCAAGGGUGAACAUUCACCUUUCUGGGUCACAUCUUCCUCAAAGAAAGUAUAUGAGUUCUCCAGGGUGUAGAGAUCAACAAGAAGCAGGCCCAGGUCUCAAACCCAGGCCUUCUGACUCCAAAAUGAGCAUCGUGCAUCUCUCUGAUGUGUGUCUCGCUUUUUCCAUCCAGUGGGAUCUGAAGGGUUGUGACACUGUCUUUUCACAUCUGCAUCCCCAGUACCUGCCAAUGUCCCUGGCAUUGAGUAGAAGCCCAGAAGAGGUUACAUGAAUGAAUACAACCACCAUGUCUUUUGCAAUCAAUCAGAAACUGUGCGCAUCAGCAUUUUCUUAAGUGUCUCCCAUGACACUCAUGGAUGAACCCCACUGAAUCUUCAAAAUAAACAUGAAAUAAAUGGAAGCAGAAAAAAUCAGAAAGGGAAGCAUGCUGUCUAUCUCUCAUGGCGUGACUGACCGCGAAUAGCAAGCAUAUCAUUGAUAACAUGCACUCAUCCACAUGCCAUGUUGCAGCCAUUUGUCUUAGGGAAGGAAAAAUUUGCUUUAAAAGCUAGGACACAUGCACACGAAUGUUCAUUGCAGCACUGUUUACAACAGCAAAGACCUGGAACCAACCCAAAUGCCCAUCAAUGAUAGACUAGAUGGGAAAACGUGGCACAUAUACACCGUGGAAUAUUAUGCAGCCACCAAAAACGGUGAGUUUGUGUCCUUUGGAGGGACAUGGAUGAACCUGGAGACCAUCAUUCUCAGCAAACUGACACAAGAACAGAAAAUGAAAUACUGCAUGUUCUCACUCAUUGGUGGGUGUUGAACAAUGAGAACACACGGUCACAGGGAGGGAAGCACUACACACUGGGGUCUGUUGGGGGGAAUAGGGGAGGGACAGCGGGGGGUGGGGAGUUGGGAAGAGAUAGCAUGGGGAGAAAUGCCAGACAUAGGUGAAAGGGAGGAAGGCAGCAAAUCACACUGCCACGUGUGUACCUAUGCAACUAUCUUGCAUGUUCUUCACAUGUACCCCAAAACCUAAAAUGCAAAAAAAAAAAAAAAAAUGGAUGAAUCUGGAGAACAUCAUCCUCAGCAAACUGACACAAGAACAGAAAAUGAAACACCGCAUAUUCUCACUCAUAGGCGGGUGAUGAAAAAUGAGAACACAUGGACACAGAAAGGGAAGUACUAAACAUUGGGGUCUAUUGGGGGGAAAAGGUGAGGGCCAGUGGGAGGGGGAGGUGGGGAGGGAUAGCCUGGGGAGAAAUGCCAAAUGUGGUUGAAGGGGAGAAGGAAAGAAAAGCACACUGCCAUGUGUGUUCCUACACAACUGUCUUGCAUGCUCUGCUCAUGUACCCCAAAACCUAAAAUCCAAUAAAAAAUAAAAAAAAAUUAAAAAAAAUAAAAAAAGCUGGCUGCCAUUGGACCCACUUUUGUUUGUUGGUUUGGUUGGUUAAUCUACUUAUUUUUAAUAUUAUUUUAAUUUUUUAAAAUUUAUUUUUAGAAGGUGGUAUCACUAUGUUGCCCAGCUUGGUCUUGAACUCUUGGGCUCAAGUGGUCCUCCUGUCUUAGACUCCCAAAGUCCUGGGAUUAUAGGCAUAAACCACCAUGCCUGGCCUGUUUGUAUUUUAAGGAGAAAAUGAUUCUUUUUCUGCUCAUGAAAGCAUGUUGGUGGGUCUUCAUAAGCUAUCAAAGGUGAGCCUAAAUAGAAAAUGAGCUGCAUAACAUAGGAACAGGAAUUUGGGAAUUGUUUCCUUACAGAAGAAGACAUAAGGGGCUGGGCGUGGUGCCUGUAAUCCCAGCCUUUAGGUACUUAGGUAGGCUGAAGUGGGCAGAUUGCUUGAGCCCAGAUUUGAGAACAGCCUGGGCAACAUAGUAAGACCUGGUCUCUACUAAAAAUAAACAAUUAGCCAAGUGGGUCGUGUGCACCUAAGGUCCCAAAUAGUAGGAAAGCUGACACAGGAGAUCACUUGAGCCUGGGAGGUUGAAGCUGCAGUGAGCUGGGAUCAUGAUACUUCACUCUAGCCUGGGCAACAGAGUGAGACCCUACUUAAAAAAAAAAAAAGGCAUAAGCGCUGUGGGGUCUCCAAGCCUUGGAGAAAAGGAAACAUGGAGACAUGCCUCCCACGGAGAAUGGAACCCAGCUACAAGGCUGUGAUCUGGAAUCUAGAAAGUAUCUGGUGAAGACGUGGUCCAGAGUGAAGGUGGGGAUGCCAUCGCCUCUGCUGAGCUGAUCUCUAAUUCCCCUCUAUGAUUCCUAAUCCUUAGUAAAGGUUCCUUAUCUGUGCACAUGUUAUUGGUGCUUUAAGGAUUUCAGGGAAAGGAAUUGUACCUACUGUUGGCAAAGCAAAUCAAAGACAGCAGCCAUCACAAUUCCCAUUCCAGGAGGGUUGACAAAUGAGUGAUGAAAACGUACCAAGAGCAGGAAGGUGAAGUGAGGAGCAAACAAGAGAACACAAGUCCUCCCGCCCCAGGAUCCUCUGAGAUUUUUGAGGAGGCUUCUGGACUUCCCAACAUGUGAAGUAGAUGAGUUACAGCUAUUUUCUUUGACUAUCCUAGCAGAGGUUGGUGGUGCCCUUGCCCUACCCACUUCAGUGAAUAACACCUACUGGCUUACAAUGAGCAAGCCACUGCAUUUUUUGGCCUGGGGCUUUUGCUUCUCACUGAAGCCUUUUUGAUGACUUCCAUUGAAAUGGGAUGGCAGAAUAGGAGAAUCAAU